Molecule: ribosomal RNA, 508 nt
Filed under: uncultured bacterium
Lineage: Bacteria
Description: bacterial SSU rRNA
Rfam family: Bacterial small subunit ribosomal RNA
Source: RNAcentral
GGUUCAGGAUGAACGCUAGCUACAGGCUUAACACAUGCAAGUCGUGGGGCAGCAUGGUGUUGCUUGCAACAACCGAUGGCGACCGGCGCACGGGUGAGUAACGCGUAUCCAACCUGGCCCUUAGUAGGGGAUAGCCCGGCGAAAGUCGGAUUAAUACCCUAUGUUUUCCCAUGAGAGCAUUUGAAAGGGAACAAAGAUUCAUCGCUAGGGGAUGGGGAUGCGUCCGAUUAGCUUGCCGGCGGGGUAACGGCCCACCGGGGCGACGAUCGGUAGGGGUUCUGAGAGGAAGGUCCCCCACAUUGGAACUGAGACACGGUCCAAACUCCUACGGGAGGCAGCAGUGAGGAAUAUUGGUCAAUGGGCGAGAGCCUGAACCAGCCAAAGUAGCGUGAGGGAUGACGGCCCUACGGGUUGUAAACCUCUUUUGUACGGGAAUAAAGUGCGCCACGCGUGGCGUUUUGUAUGUACCGUAAGAAUAAGGACCGGCUAAUUCCGUGCCAGCCGCAGC